GUCACUUUUCUCAUUCUCGUCUUUGUAUUUACGAGUUUACAAAGCACCUAGCAUGCUUCACUUGAAUUAACCCAGAGUUCAUUCUUCAUGUAUAUUAAUUCAAUCCAAUUCAAACCCUCCGAUCAUUAUGUCUAUCAAAAUUUCCCAUGUGUUUUUUUUUUUUUUUUGUCUCAAACCUUUAAAUUUUGCGAAAUGGACAUUUUUUGGCCCAUAGUAAGUUGGGAAAACUUUGUUGCUUGAAUUCAAAGUGAGCAUAUAUUAUCGUUAUUGUUUGUAACUCGCGGGUCGAAGAACCUAAACUAGCAUUGGCUUGCGAAUGACAAAUUUAAAGAGAAGUGAUCAUACCAAAUGGUAAAUAGUUUUCCUAACUUAUUGAUGAGUGAUUUACACUCAUUAUAUUAUGCCAUUAAUUUCAUGAUUUUGUUAUCUUGGAGAGUAUUUUAAAAGUGCUAACAAGUGAUUUUGGUGUUGUUUUGUAGAUUGAUGGAAAUGGAGAAAACUAGAGCUAAAAGAGGUCAAAUGAAGGAAAUAGGCAAAAGCUAGCGAAAUUGGAUGAAAUGACCAAAACGUAAGAGAUCCAAAGUUCAAGGAUUAAAAUGAAAUUAAUCAAAAGUCGUGUCGAAACUUGAAAUGAAGAUUCGAGAGUUCUAGAAGCCAAUUGGACAAAGGAAGGUGUCAAAUGGAUCAAAUUUAGUCAAGAUAUGAUCAUAAAUCAUUUUCCAACCAAAAAGUUUUGCGCCGGAGUUUUCGUCUCACAUUUAGACUCAUUUUUGACAUAGAAAAAGAUCGAUUUGGAGAAUGAUUCCUGAAGUAAAAUUGUAGUCCUUUGAAUUAGCUUUCCAACACAUUUUGAAUCACUUCAAUCGGAUAUUGAAUGAAAAAGUUAUGAUAAAAAUACUGAAAGCUGUCCAUUGCAACCGAAGUAGACCUCAGCGCCCAGGCGCUAUCCCUCAGCGCCUAGGCGCCAUGAUGCUGAAAUUUUGACAGAAAGUCAGCGCCUAGGCGCCGUCGUGCGAGAGUAAUUUUUUUAGAUUUUUACCAUUCUUUUUCGGCCCAACUCAUCUCCAAAUCUUUCCCUAAACUUCAAGACAAUAUAAACACAAGAUUGAAGACCUAAAUGAGGGGGGAGCCGCACACUAAAAAUCGAUGGAAUCAAGCCAUGCGUUCUUGACAUAUUGGAGAGAAAAACAAUAAGAAGGGAGAUUUAAAGGAGAAAUUUAAGAAGAUUAACACCAAGAAUUGAAGAUUGGAAGCAUUCAUUGGAAGAGGAAGGAGGUCUUGGUGCAAGAAUUCCACCUUUUCUUCUACAUCUUUAUUUCAAACUCGGUGAUGUAUUCUAAGACAAUUUCCUAUUUUUUUUUCCAUUAUUAUGAGUAGUUAAAUUUGAUUUUAGGGCGAACAAUGUAAUCUUUUGGAAUCCUUUAUUUCAUGCAAUUGAGAUUUUAGUGCUUUUAUAUUUCAUGUGUUGAUUUUAAUGUUGUUCUUAAUACAUUUAAUUACUUGAUCACUAAUUAGAUGAUUUGUGAACAAUGAUUGCG
Molecule: long non-coding RNA, 1538 nt
Filed under: Olea europaea subsp. europaea
Lineage: Eukaryota; Viridiplantae; Streptophyta; Magnoliopsida; Lamiales; Oleaceae
Source: RNAcentral